This 221-nucleotide long non-coding RNA is filed under the name Nicotiana benthamiana. RNAcentral describes it as "long non-coding RNA (NBEN_LNC005389)". The record is from RNAcentral. Lineage: Eukaryota; Viridiplantae; Streptophyta; Magnoliopsida; Solanales; Solanaceae.
UUCUAUUGCGUCCUACCGAAAGUCUGAACGGGAGUCACCGGAAGUACUGUAGCUUGUCGGAAAUCCUCGCCGGGAAAAUAAGGCACCUAUCCAAGAAAACAGAACACACCCACACACACCAGAAGAGAGAAUAGAAAGAAAAGAGCAGGGGUUGCCGGAAAAAUCGCCGGCGACAAGCAAGAAUUCAAAACCUCUAGACAGCAGUAGAGACAAACUUGAAU